Molecule: ribosomal RNA, 441 nt
Filed under: uncultured bacterium
Lineage: Bacteria
Description: partial 16S ribosomal RNA
Rfam family: Bacterial small subunit ribosomal RNA
Source: RNAcentral
CCUACGGGUGGCAGCAGUGGGGAAUAUUGCACAAUGGGGGAAACCCUGAUGCAGCAACGCCGCGUGAGUGAAGAAGUAUUUCGGAUUGUAAAGCUCUAUCAGCAGGGAAGAUGAAAGACGUAACCUGACUAGGAAGUCCGGCCUAACUACGUGCCAGCACCCGCGGAAAUAGUUAGGGGGCAAGCGUUGUCCGGAUUUACUGGGUGGAAAGGGAGCGUAGACGGGUGUGCAAGUCAGAAGUGAAAGCCAGGGGCUCACCCGUGGAACUGCUUUUGAAACUGUAUACCGUGAGUACUGGAGAGGCAGGCGGAAUUCCCAGUGUAGCGGUGAAAUGCGUAGAUAUUAGGAGGAACACCAGUGGCGAAGGCGGCCUGCUGGGCAGAAACUGACGUUGAGGCACGAAAGCGUGGGGAGCAAACAGGAUUAGAUAACCGUGUAGUC